RNAcentral lists this long non-coding RNA (738 nucleotides) under Trifolium pratense (red clover). Its description in RNAcentral is "long non-coding RNA (TPRA_LNC013019)". Lineage: Eukaryota; Viridiplantae; Streptophyta; Magnoliopsida; Fabales; Fabaceae. The record is from RNAcentral.
CACAUUUGGUCUUUUAUCCUUAUUUUAGAUUUCAAGUUAAUCCCUUAUAUUUUAAAAAUUUUAAAUUGGUCUCUUAUUUUUUUCUUCCGUUUAAUAAGCUAGUCCCUCCCAUCAAUUUUUCGACUAAUGCCAUUAAACGUCGACACAUAGCAAAUGGAAAACACACUACAAAAAAUUUGACUUAUAACAACGGCAAAUGUCCGUGGGUAAAAGUCACACAGCUUCAAAAUCACUUUUUUGCUACGGUGGUGCAUCCCCGAUAAAGCUUGUGCUUGGAAUCAGACAAAAUAAGAGUAUGACAGAACCGAGUAAGAGCCAUAGCCUUCGACUUGCGGUGGUUGUUGUUUUUGUUGUGAGUGUGAAUCUUCAAUAGCGAUGAUUUUGGGUUCCGUGAAUGAAUAUUUGAGAUGGAAUGAAAUUGAUUUGGUUUCAAUUUUUUGGUCAGCUAUGGUGGGAAUAAGAAGAUUAGAAAAGGGUUCUCGAUUGUGUGAUUAUCCUUUGUGUGGGCUAUUUGGAACGUUAUAAUUUCUGCGUGUUGCUGAUGUUUUGUUUGUGUGCCUGUAUUUACUGUUUGGCCUUUGUUGUACUGCUAUGCUUUUUGUUUAUGCUUCUGUCAUGGUUGUAAUUGGGCCAUAUGUUGUUUGGCUUCUUGGUAGUUAGUAACCAGGGUGUUUUCAGAAAAUUUCUCAUCCCACCUACCCACUUUCUCAAGACACCCCUGGAAAUUCCAUUUUUGCC